RNAcentral lists this non-coding RNA (29 nucleotides) under Bombyx mori (domestic silkworm). Lineage: Eukaryota; Metazoa; Arthropoda; Insecta; Lepidoptera; Bombycidae. The record is from RNAcentral.
UCCGAUAUGGUCUAGUGGCUAGGAUACCU